CAGUUUGAAACGAGCGCGGCAGUGAUGGUAAUACGACUCACUAUAGGGCGAAUUGGGCCCGACGUCGCAUGCUCCCGGCCCGCCAUGGCGGCCCGCGGGAAUUCGAUUAGAGUUUGAUCAUGGCUCAGGACGAACGCUGGCGGCGUGCUUAACACAUGCAAGUCGAACGAUGAAAGCAGGAGCUUGCUUUUGCUGGAUUAGUGGCGAACGGGUGAGUAACACGUGAGUAACCUGCCCUUGACUCUGGGAUAAGCGUUGGAAACGACGUCUAAUACCGGAUACGAGCUAGGACCGCAUGGUCACUAGUUGGAAAGAAUUUUGGUCAAGGAUGGACUCGCGGCCUAUCAGCUAGUUGGUGAGGUAACGGCCCACCAAGGCGACGACGGGUAGCCGGCCUGAGAGGGUGACCGGCCACACUGGGACUGAGACACGGCCCAGACUCCUACGGGAGGCAGCAGUGGGGAAUAUUGCACAAUGGGCGAAAGCCUGAUGCAGCAACGCCGCGUGAGGGACGACGGCCUUCGGGUUGUAAACCUCUUUUAGCAGGGAAGAAGCGAAAGUGACGGUACCUGCAGAAAAAGCACCGGCUAACUACGUGCCAGCAGCCGCGGUAAUACGUAGGGUGCAAGCGUUGUCCGGAAUUAUUGGGCGUAAAGAGCUCGUAGGCGGUUUGUCGCGUCUGCUGUGAAAAUCCGAGGCUCAACCUCGGACCUGCAGUGGGUACGGGCAAACUAGAGUGCGGUAGGGGAGAUUGGAAUUCCUGGUGUAGCGGUGGAAUGCGCAGAUAUCAGGAGGAACACCAAUGGCGAAGGCAGAUCUCUGGGCCGUAACUGACGCUGAGGAGCGAAAGCGUGGGGAGCGAACAGGAUUAGAUACCCUGGUAGUCCACGCCGUAAACGGUGGGAACUAGAUGUGGGGUCCGUUCCACGGAUUCCGUGUCGCAGCUAACGCAUUAAGUCC
Molecule: ribosomal RNA, 960 nt
Filed under: uncultured Actinomycetes bacterium
Lineage: Bacteria; Bacillati; Actinomycetota; Actinomycetes
Description: bacterial SSU rRNA
Rfam family: Bacterial small subunit ribosomal RNA (bases 102-960)
Source: RNAcentral